UUUUUUUUUUUUUUUUUUUUGCUUUUUGCUUUUUAGGGACGUACCUGUGGCAUAUGGAAAUACCCAUGCUAGGGGUCGAAUAGGAGCUACAGCCAUUGGCCUACACUACAGCUCAUGGCAACACUGGAUCCCCAACUCACCGAGUGAGGCCAGGGAUUGAACCCUCAUCCUCAUGGAUAUUAGUGGGAUUUGUUUCCUCUGCACCACAAUGGUAACUACCUAAAUCACGUUUUUAAAAGUCUCUUGAAAAUAAUUAUUUUUAAAACUUUAAAUAUAUAUAAGCUACAAUUUAUGCUGCAGUAUUCUCUGCUUUGGUCACUGUUCUUGGUAUCUUUUCUAUUCUACCCUUUAAGAAAAACAUUUCAAGGUUUCUGGGGUUUGUGUUGGUAGUUUACAGCUUAAAGGAUUUUCUGAUGCCCAUUCUCUUAGCUACACCCAUCAGUAUCAGUGGGUAUGUUUUCAUAUAGCUUGUUUAGACUAAGAAGAUGUUCAUGAAAGUGAAAUGAUUUUCAGGUGCUUUUGAUUCAUGUGGGGAGCACUAGAACAAUAUCUCAAUUCAUGAUACAGAUGCAUAUUUCAAUUCUGAUUCAAGCACUCAAGUUGGUCAAUCCAUAACUUGGAGAAGGUAAAUAGAACUUCUUUUACAUGUAAAGAAAUUGGGUAUCAGAGAAGUAAAACCUGGCUUUGCCUGUACUGAGAUGAAACCAUUUAUAGGCUUUACCUGUGCUACAUAGUGUGAGCAUUCAUUCACUUCACUACAGAAAUAGGUUUAGAUCACAGCAUGCUGCCCCAGAGCCUGCUGGAAACAUUCUAUGAUACACAGUAUCCAUAUGGACCUUACUGCCAUAAACUCUGAAUUCUCAGUCACACCUGGUCCCAAGGAUUUUCAGUAAGGGAUUGUUGACCUAUAGUUAUUUUCUUUCCAGAAUAGUCAUUCAGGCAAUUUGGUACUUAGAAGCAUAAAUAUAGUGAUGAUAUAUUCUAAAUAUUACAGAACAAUUCUGAUUUCCAGAAUUCCUUUUUAACUUGUAGUUUCUGUGCAAGCCACAGGACACGAUUUUAUAUUUUGAAAGUUAUGAAUAUACUUAUUAUUAGACCUACAAUUCAAACCAGUGUGUAAUUGUACACCAUUAGAGAAAAUUAGAAAACAUUUUUUAAAAUUUACGCUGUUCCCCAAAAGCCGAUGACAAUGUCUGGGAAACAACUUGAUUCUACCUUCUAAUUUUCCUUCCCUUUUAUUAACAAAAUCACAACAUGACUAGGUCACAAACCAGUAAAUUGCAUUUGGCAGCUGAAUGUCACUGUUACCUGUAGGUAAUGGUCUCUUCUGCCUGGCACAUAUACAGUAGGCAUGUAGCAAUUAUUUAAUGGAUAAAUAAAUUAUAACACUUUCAUGGCUGGCUUAAUCCUGUAAGUAAUAAUUGACUUAUAUUACCUCUUAUCACCUGAUUGUUUUCUCAUGAUUGUUUUUAGCCAGUGAAGUGGUUUCAGACAUUGGAAAGAAGUAGAGUAUUGUUUAUGAAACCAGAGAUGGCCUGGAUGGGAGACUGAAUUGGAAUCCUUGAUUCCCAGUACAGAGAAGGCCCUUGAUAUUUAAGAAUAAAAAUAACAGCUGAGCUUUAUGUCAUGUGUUUAAUGCCAUGACCAUAAAGCCAUUACUGUAACGCCUACGUUUAUUUUCUUAAGGAAGCCGCUGAACCGCCCUCAGAAUGGCUUAGUUUUUAGUGACUAUGGUUUUCCUUUGGGACCUCGAUUCCAAGAAGACGCAGUUUUGUCAAAGGCUCUUUCAUCCUGUUUCUUUAAAAAAAAGUACCCUGCAAUAGGUAAAACAUCUUUAGAUAGAAAAAGUAGUCAGCCUACGCCAAAUCUUCCCCUACCUCCUUCCUCUUUCAUUUCCCACUUGUGCUUGUGUACUACUAACUAUAUUGAGGGUACAUGGCCACUAAGGUUUAAGGUUUUUUGAGAGCAGGGACUGUAUCAUAUUUACUUUCACUUUUCCUUCUGUGCUUAAAACAGGACUUCUACUUCUUCAGCAAAUAUUCUGGGUUAAGUAUCUGGCAUUGCCAAAGAUGUGUAUGCAGCAACUGUGGCUAGGAUUCGAUUUCUGGCCCAGGAACUUCCAUAUGCUACAGUGUGGCCAUUUUAUUUUAUUUAUUUUUUUUUUUAAAGGCAUGUAUUUGAGGACAGUACCUUUUCUAUUAAGCCUCUUUAGAAACACAGUUAGCCAAGGAGAGGCUGAAUCACGACACCAUUGUUAGUCAUCCACACCUUAGUUUGUAGAUCAAGCUGUUGAAAGGAGUUAGGACUCCAAAAAGGUAAAGGGUGUGUGACUUAUGUAGUGUGUGUGUCUUAGGUUAGAAAGAGGAUAGGGGUCAGUGGGUGGAAUUGGAGAUUGGGGCCUGACAGUGGAACAGUGCAUGGAAGGAUAGAUAUGCGUCAUGUGUUUUGAGGAGUAUAAGGGCCAUGGGUUCCCAAAGAUAGUGCACACCUAGUAAAGAGAUGAGCCCUGAAGAGGAAUGCCCUUCAUGGAAUCUGGAGCUGCAGAACUGGGAUUCUAGUACUGAUUCUGCCAGUAACUUGUUCUCUGUCACAUCCCCUUUCUGGGUCUCAAUUUCACCAUCUAUAAAAAAUAAGGUUCUUAAAAAGGUACAAGCUCCUAAGACUUACCCAGGAAGAAAUAGAAGAUGUAAGCAGAUCAAUUACCAGUACUGAAAUUUAAUCAGCAAAUUUUUUUUUCUUUUUUUUAGGGCCGCACCAGUGGCAUAUGGAGGUUCCCAGGCUAGAGGGUGAAUUGGAGCUGUAGCCGCUGGCCUGUGCCACAGCCACAGCAACGCAGAUCCAAGCUGCAUUUGUGACCUACACCACAGCUCAUGGCAACUCAGGAUCCUUAACCCACUGAGCCAGGGGUGGAACUUGUGUACUUAGAGUUACUGGUCGUAUUCGUUUCCACUGAGCCAUGUCAGUAUAUCCGCAUCAGUAAUUUUUAAACUCCCAACAAUCAAAAGUCCAGGACCAGAUAGCUUUACAGGCAAACUCUACCAAACAUUUAGAGAAGAGUUAACACCUAUCCUGAAACUUCCAAAAGACUGCAGAGGAAGGAACACUUCUGAACUCAUUCUGUGAGGCCACCAUCACCCUGACACCAAACCAAGUUACCACAAAAAAAGAAAAUUACAGGCCAGUCUCAUUGAUGAACACAUGAUCCCCUAAAAUUUCAUAUAGUUUGAUGUCAGAAGCUGCAAAGUUAAGGCUAAUCUGAUUGUGCUUUAGUGAUAGAGUUCUCUGACCUUCAGCCUUCUCAUUUAUGGAAUGACUAGUUCUCACAUUUAAUGAUUUUUGAAACCUCUCAAAACUUACCAGUGUCAUUUCUGUUACUUCCUCUGGGUCUGCACCUGUUCUGACUUUGAUUUUUGUUUGUUUAUUUGUUAGUUUUGGGCACACCUCAGCAUGUGGAAGUUCCCAGGCCAGGGAUCAAACCCAUGUCAUAGCUGCAACCUGCACCAUAGCUGCAGCAACGCCAGAUCCUUAACUGGAUGCACAAGGGAACUUCAUUGUUUUGUUGUUUUAAUUUUAAUGAGCCACUAUUCAUUCAGUAUCUUCUACAUGCCAGAACUUUUUUUAUGACAUGCAGAAGUUCCUGGGACAGGGAUCGAACUCAAGCAACAGCUGUAACCAGAGCCGCAGCAGUGACAACACCAGAUCCUUAACCCAUGAACCAUGAGGGAAUUCCCAGAACUUUUGUUUUGUUUUGUCAUUUUGCCAUUUCUUGGGCCGCUCCCGUGGCAUAUGGAGGUUCCCAGGCUACGGGUCGAAUCGGAGCUGUAGCUGCCAGCCUACACUAGGGCCACAGCAACGAGGGAUCCGAGCCGCAUCUGCGACCUACACCACAGCUCACAGCAAUGCCGGAUCGUUAACCCACUGAGCAAGGGAAGGGACCGAACCCUCAACCUCAUGGUUCCUAGUCGGAUUCGUUAACCACUGCGCCACGACGGGAACUCCCAGAACUUUUAAUACAGGGUAUUUUACCUAUAUUAUUUUAAAUUUUUAAUUUUUUUAAGGUCACCCCUGUGGAAGUUCCUGGGCCAGGAGUCCAAUUGGAGCUGCAGCUGAAGCCAGAUCUGUAACCCAUUGAUCAAGGCCAGGUAUCAAACCUGCAUCCUCACAGAGACAAUGUUGGGUCCGUAACCCACUGAGCCACAAUAGGAGCUCCUAUUUAAAAAUUUUUAUAAUGUUACUGUCCUUUUUAUAUAUACAGAUUUGGGAAAAUCACACCAUGCCUCUUUCGCUCAUCCUGGAUAACAUAUUCCUGGAUAUUAAAGGUCUCAUUUCACUCAAUGAGCUGGAAGUUCCCUUUGUGGCUCAGCAGGUUAAGAAUCUGGCUAGUAUCCAUGAGGAUGCAGGUUUGAUCCCUGGCCUCGCUCAGUGGGUUAAGGAUCGGGUGUUGCCUCAAGCUACGGCAUAGGUUGCAGAUGUGGCUCAGAUCAGGAGUGGCUGUGGCAUAGACUGGCAGCUGCAACUCCAACCCCUCUCCUGGAAAAUUCCACAUACUGCAGGUGUAGCCCUCAAAAGAAAAAAAGUGCUAGAGAGGGGAAGAUGUAUAUGGCUGUAAAUUGAUAAGUGAGGGGAAAGGAACUAACAGUUGAGGCCCUACUAUGUGUUAGGCAGUUUAUACAUGCCUAUCUUCUAUAGGUCACUGAGAUAAGUAGAUAGGUAGACAUCACAAAGGAAGCCCAUUUGUCUUGAUAACAAAAAAA
Molecule: long non-coding RNA, 4754 nt
Filed under: Sus scrofa (pig)
Lineage: Eukaryota; Metazoa; Chordata; Mammalia; Artiodactyla; Suidae
Description: lncRNA (ENSSSCG00025011178.1)
Source: RNAcentral